UACGGAGGUGGCAAGCGUUGCUCGGAAUCACUGGGCGUAAAGGGUGCGUAGGCGGGUCUUUAAGUCAGGGGUGAAAUCCUGGAGCUCAACUCCAGAACUGCCUUUGAUACUGAGGAUCUUGAGUAUGGGAGAGGUGAGUGGAACUGCGAGUGUAGAGGUGAAAUUCGUAGAUAUUCGCAAGAACACCAGUGGCGAAGGCGGCUCACUGGCCCAUUACUGACGCUGAGGCACGAAAGCGUGGGGAGCAAACAGG
Molecule: ribosomal RNA, 253 nt
Filed under: uncultured bacterium
Lineage: Bacteria
Description: partial 16S ribosomal RNA
Rfam family: Bacterial small subunit ribosomal RNA
Source: RNAcentral